UAGGGAAUCUUCCGCAAUGGGCGAAAGCUUGACGGAGCAACGCCGCGUGAGUGAUGAAGGUCUUCGGAUCGUAAAACUCUGUUAUUAGGGAAGAACAAAUGUGUAAGUAACUAUGCACGUCUUGACGGUACCUAAUCAGAAAGCCACGGCUAACUACGUGCCAGCAGCCGCGGUAAUACGUAGGUGGCAAGCGUUAUCCGGAAUUAUUGGGCGUAAAGCGCGCGUAGGCGGUUUUUUAAGUCUGAUGUGAAAGCCCACGGCUCAACCGUGGAGGGUCAUUGGAAACUGGAAAACUUGAGUGCAGAAGAGGAAAGUGGAAUUCCAUGUGUAGCAGUGAAAUGCGCAGAGAUAUGGAGGAACACCAGUGGCGAAGGUGACUUUCUGGUCUGUAACUGACGCUGAUGUGCGAAAGCGUGGGGAUCAAACAGG
Molecule: ribosomal RNA, 429 nt
Filed under: Actinomycetes bacterium
Lineage: Bacteria; Bacillati; Actinomycetota; Actinomycetes
Description: Actinobacteria bacterium partial 16S ribosomal RNA
Rfam family: Bacterial small subunit ribosomal RNA
Source: RNAcentral